This 429-nucleotide ribosomal RNA is filed under the name Chloroflexota bacterium. Its description in RNAcentral is "Chloroflexi bacterium partial 16S ribosomal RNA". It matches the Rfam family "Bacterial small subunit ribosomal RNA", at positions 355 to 776 of the family's 1533-position model. Lineage: Bacteria; Bacillati; Chloroflexota. The record is from RNAcentral.
UGGGGAAUAUUGCACAAUGGGCGCAAGCCUGAUGCAGCCAUGCCGCGUGUAUGAAGAAGGCCUUCGGGUUGUAAAGUACUUUCAGCGGGGAGGAAGGGAGUAAAGUUAAUACCUUUGCUCAUUGACGUUACCCGCAGAAGAAGCACCGGCUAACUCCGUGCCAGCAGCCGCGGUAAUACGGAGGGUGCAAGCGUUAAUCGGAAUUACUGGGCGUAAAGCGCACGCAGGCGGUUUGUUAAGUCAGAUGUGAAAUCCCCGGGCUCAACCUGGGAACUGCAUCUGAUACUGGCAAGCUUGAGUCUCGUAGAGGGGGGUACAAUUCCAGGUGUAGCGGUGAAAUGCGUAGAGAUCUGGAGGAAUACCGGUGGCGAAGGCGGCCCCCUGGACAAAGACUGACGCUCAGGUGCGAAAGCGUGGGGAGCAAACAGG